GGGUCUGUCCAUUGGUCGGGCUUUACGGUCCGUACUGGUGAGAUGGGUUCCUACCUUCUGAAUAACCGGCAUGCCAUUCAGUUGGUGCGCCGGGGAAGCAGAGCUAUUACCUUGAAAAAAUUAGAGUGCUUAAAGCAGGCUAUUGCUUGAAUAGAUUAGCAUGGAAUAAUAAAAUAGGACGGCAUGGUUCUAUUUUGUUGGUUUCUGAAUCACCGUA
This 217-nucleotide ribosomal RNA is filed under the name Glomeromycotina sp. RNAcentral's name for it is "partial small subunit ribosomal RNA". The stretch from base 93 to 217 matches the Rfam family "Eukaryotic small subunit ribosomal RNA", at positions 738 to 864 of the family's 1831-position model. The record is from RNAcentral. Lineage: Eukaryota; Fungi; Glomeromycota.